RNAcentral lists this ribosomal RNA (253 nucleotides) under uncultured bacterium. RNAcentral's name for it is "partial 16S ribosomal RNA". It matches the Rfam family "Bacterial small subunit ribosomal RNA", at positions 524 to 776 of the family's 1533-position model. The record is from RNAcentral.
UACGAAGGGGACUAGCGUUGUUCGGAAUCACUGGGCGUAAAGGGCACGUAGGCGGGUUCGUAAGUCAGGGGUGAAAUCCCGGGGCUCAACCUCGGAACUGCCUUUGAUACUGCGGGUCUUGAGUCCGAUAGAGGUGGGUGGAAUUCCUAGUGUAGAGGUGAAAUUCGUAGAUAUUAGGCAGAACACCGGUGGCGAAGGCGGCCCACUGGAUCGGUACUGACGCUGAGGUGCGAAAGCGUGGGGAGCAAACGGG